Molecule: ribosomal RNA, 490 nt
Filed under: uncultured bacterium
Lineage: Bacteria
Description: bacterial SSU rRNA
Rfam family: Bacterial small subunit ribosomal RNA
Source: RNAcentral
GAUGAACGCUAGCUACAGGCUUAACACAUGCAAGUCGAGGGGCAGCAGGGAUUUAGCUUGCUAAAUUCGCUGGCGACCGGCGCACGGGUGCGUAACGCGUAUCCAACUUUCCCGUUACUCUCGGAUAGCCUUCCGAAAGGGAGAUUAAUACGAGAUGGUGUUCUAAUUCCGCAUGUUAUUAGAACUAAAGAUUUAUCGGUAACGGAUAGGGAUGCGUGACAUUAGAUAGUUGGCGGGGUAACGGCCCACCAAGUCCACGAUGUCUAGGGGUUCUGAGAGGAAGGUCCCCCACACUGGAACUGAGACACGGUCCAGACUCCUACGGGAGGCAGCAGUGAGGAAUAUUGGUCAAUGGUCGGAAGACUGAACCAGCCAAGUAGCGUGAAGGAUGAAGGUUCUAUGGAUUGUAAACUUCUUUUAUACGGGAAUAAAACCUCCCACGUGUGGGAGCUUGUAUGUACCGUAUGAAUAAGCAUCGGCUAACUACGUG